This 253-nucleotide ribosomal RNA is filed under the name uncultured bacterium. RNAcentral's name for it is "partial 16S ribosomal RNA". It matches the Rfam family "Bacterial small subunit ribosomal RNA", at positions 524 to 776 of the family's 1533-position model. The record is from RNAcentral.
UACGGGGGGGGCAAGCGUUGUUCGGAAUUACUGGGCGUAAAGGGCUCGUAGGCGGCCAACUAAGUCGGACGUGAAAUCCCCAGGCUCAACCUGGGAACUGCGUCCGAUACUGGAUGGCUUGAAUCCGGGAGAGGGAUGCAGAAUUCCAGGUGUAGCGGUGAAAUGCGUAGAUAUCUGGAGGAAUACCGGUGGCGAAGGCGGCAUCCUGGACCGGCAUUGACGCUGAGGUGCGAAAGCGUGGGGAGCAAACAGG